This 662-nucleotide long non-coding RNA is filed under the name Fukomys damarensis (Damara mole-rat). RNAcentral describes it as "lncRNA (ENSFDAG00000031007.1)". Lineage: Eukaryota; Metazoa; Chordata; Mammalia; Rodentia; Bathyergidae. The record is from RNAcentral.
GACUCGCCGUCCUGCCUCGGCCCCUGCGGCUACCACGUGAAUGCACAUUUUCUUUUUGCGAGCAGGUGCGGAUUCUGGAGGAAUCCAAAAGAGAACCAGAGUAAUUUAUCAAGAUUGAAGAGCUGCGACCAUUUUGCCGGACCGAGAGCACAACCGCCGGGCUGUGGCCGAGUCCACGUGGUGGAGACACUCGUGUGUGUGUGUCUGUGUGUGUGUGUGCACACACGUGCGUGUCCUGGCUCUGUCACUCACCCUCCUCACAACACUGCCUUUCCACCAACUAAGCGGAGCGUGGGCUACCCAGCUUCUCCAACCUGGAACAUCUGGGCUGCACCCAGGAAGAAAAAUGUGUGUGACAGCUCCUCUACUCCAUUAGCACAGUAACGUCCACUCGACAACAGAAGUUCAGAUUUGCAGUUACCUGGAGAAACCCCGAGGAAAGGUGAGCUGCUAACUUACAAACGCUUCCUUCCUUCUCACUGAGAAAAUUGUCUUUUGGAUUACCAACCAUUGAUGUGGGUGCUGGCCUCGAGUUCUUUUCAGGGAUUGAAAUGUCCUUAGAGAACAGAUGAACUGUCCCAAAGGCUAUGCCUGAAGAUGAGCAGAAGGGGUUGGGACCCUGCUUGGGCUGCUCUCACCGGGGUCUUCAGACUCAUGUGCCC